CCAAUAGCGUAUAUUAAAGUUGUUGCAGUUAAAAAGCUCGUAGUUGAAUUUCGGGAUUGACGUGACGGUCAUGCCUUAAGGGGUAUGAACUGUUGCUGUUGAUUUCUCACCUUCUGGAGAAACUUGAUGUCCUUUAUUGGGUGUCUUGCGGAUCCAGGACCUUUACCUUGAAAAAAUUAGAGUGUUUAAAGCAGGCAUUUUUGCUCGAAUACAUUAGCAUGGAAUAAUAGAAUAGGAAGGCAUGGUUCUAUUUUGUUGGUUUCUAGGAGCACCGUAAUGAUUAAUAGUGAUAGUUGGGGGCAUUAGUAUUCAAUUGUCAGAGGUGAAAUUCUUGGAUUUAUUGAAGACUAACUACUGCGAAAGCAUUUGCCAAGGAUGUUUUCAUUAAUCAAGAACGAAAGUUAGGGGAUCGAAGACGAUCAGAUACCGUCGUAGUCUUAACCAUAAACUAUGCCGACUAGGAAUCAGACGAUGUUAAUUUUUUAAUGACUCGUUUGGCACCUUACG
RNAcentral lists this unclassified non-coding RNA (507 nucleotides) under uncultured Entrophospora. RNAcentral describes it as "SSU rRNA". It matches the Rfam family "Eukaryotic small subunit ribosomal RNA", at positions 591 to 1092 of the family's 1831-position model. Lineage: Eukaryota; Fungi; Glomeromycota; Glomeromycetes; Entrophosporales; Entrophosporaceae. The record is from RNAcentral.